GCAUUAUAUGAUGCUGGGACAGAGGGAGACCUGGAGGGGAGCCAGAGAGGACAUUUUUUGUUUAUAGAACAAGUGGACUACUGCAGAGCACAACCUGGCCCCAUAAACUCACAUCCUUGUGCGUUCUGUUGGGGUGCAGCUGUGCUAUGUUCUACAACAUGCACAAAGUUCACAUAGAAUCAAGAAGAAAGAUCCGAGACCGGGUUUAAACUCCUCAACAGCACGGUGCCUGCCUGUCUACAAAGUAUCCUUGGAAAUUCCAGUAGACAGCUAGUCCUUAAGGUGGUGAUGGAGGAACACUUGAAAGAAGAUGAACACAUGGACACGCCUACACUGAAACAUGGCCUCAAAGUCCCUUCAAAAAUUGCAUCAGGACUCCUUGAAGAGAAACUGCAAAGAACUUCAAAAUUAGGAAAGCAUCAGAAUCAGGAGGAAAGGAAAAAGGAUAUCAGACAGAAGGAAUCCAGUAUUUGAUCAAAUAUUGGAUGUGCACUUAUUCCUCUGACUUGUAUGAGUUGCUUCAGACUUCAGCUCAGUUCUCUCUGUACAACAACAACAACAAUAAUAGUAACAAUGUCCAUCAAAGAGUUUUCUGUGAGGAUUGAGCGAAUAAAUAAAGUACAUUCCAGAGUGUCUGGUACUUUUAUAUAAAUUGUAAAUCAUGGCUUAAAAAACAGAAAUAAAU
This 685-nucleotide long non-coding RNA is filed under the name Chinchilla lanigera (long-tailed chinchilla). RNAcentral describes it as "lncRNA (ENSCLAG00000023947.1)". The record is from RNAcentral. Lineage: Eukaryota; Metazoa; Chordata; Mammalia; Rodentia; Chinchillidae.